UGGGGAAUCUUCCGCAAUGGACGAAAGUCUGACGGAGCAACGCCGCGUGAGUGAUGACGGCCUUCGGGUUGUAAAGCUCUGUUAAUCGGGACGAAUGGUUCUUGUGCGAAUAGUGCAAGGAUUUGACGGUACCGGAAUAGAAAGCCACGGCUAACUACGUGCCAGCAGCCGCGGUAAUACGUAGGUGGCAAGCGUUGUCCGGAAUUAUUGGGCGUAAAGCGCGCGCAGGCGGAUUGGUCAGUCUGUCUUAAAAGUUCGGGGCUUAACCCCGUGAUGGGAUGGAAACUGCCAAUCUAGAGUAUCGGAGAGGAAAGUGGAAUUCCUAGUGUAGCGGAGAAAUGCGUAGAUAUUAGGAAGAACACCAGUGGCGAAGGCGACUUUCUGGACGAAAACUGACGCUGAGGCGCGAAAGCCAGGGGAGCGAACGGG
RNAcentral lists this ribosomal RNA (429 nucleotides) under bacterium. RNAcentral describes it as "partial 16S ribosomal RNA". It matches the Rfam family "Bacterial small subunit ribosomal RNA", at positions 355 to 776 of the family's 1533-position model. The record is from RNAcentral.